UGGGGAAUAUUGGACAAUGGGCGAAAGCCUGAUCCAGCCAUGCCGCGUGUGUGAAGAAGGUCUUCGGAUUGUAAAGCACUUUAAGUUGGGAGGAAGGGCAUUAACCUAAUACGUUAGUGUUUUGACGUUACCGACAGAAUAAGCACCGGCUAACUCUGUGCCAGCAGCCGCGGUAAUACAGAGGGUGCAAGCGUUAAUCGGAAUUACUGGGCGUAAAGCGCGCGUAGGUGGUUUGUUAAGUUGGAUGUGAAAGCCCCGGGCUCAACCUGGGAACUGCAUCCAAAACUGGCAAGCUAGAGUACGGUAGAGGGUGGUGGAAUUUCCUGUGUAGCGGUGAAAUGCUUAGAUAUAGGAAUGAACACCAGUGGCGAAGGCGACCACCUGGACUGAUACUGACACUGAGGUGCGAAAGCGUGGGGAGCAAACA
This 427-nucleotide ribosomal RNA is filed under the name uncultured bacterium. Its description in RNAcentral is "partial 16S ribosomal RNA". It matches the Rfam family "Bacterial small subunit ribosomal RNA", at positions 355 to 774 of the family's 1533-position model. The record is from RNAcentral.